This 132-nucleotide small RNA is filed under the name Salmonella enterica. RNAcentral's name for it is "RtT sRNA". It matches the Rfam family "RtT RNA". Rfam says of the family: This family represents a bacterial cis-regulatory element known as RtT RNA. The exact function of RtT is unknown although it is thought that it may be involved in changing the cellular response in relation to amino acid starvation. The record is from RNAcentral. Lineage: Bacteria; Pseudomonadati; Pseudomonadota; Gammaproteobacteria; Enterobacterales; Enterobacteriaceae. RNAcentral also lists the same sequence under 4 other names.
GUUUGCACUUGUCGGGGAAGGGUGAGAACCUUCGAUUAAGGUUCGACUCGAGCGAAAGCGAGAGAACGUUGCCAACGGCAACGGCCCGUAGGGUGAGGAGCGAAGCGACGAAUAAUCCUUCCCCCAUCACCA